This is a long non-coding RNA of Grus americana (Whooping crane), 731 nucleotides long. RefSeq lists it as uncharacterized. NCBI's taxonomy places the organism in Eukaryota, Metazoa, Chordata, Aves, Gruiformes, Gruidae. The record is from RefSeq and is a predicted model, not a curated record. The transcript has 5 exons.
UCGCCCUUUCAGCAUGCGGCUCGGGACGGUGAGCGGCGGCGGCGGCGGGCGGGACGCUGCGGGGAGCGGGGCCGGCCUCUCCUCGGUCCCGCUCCGUCCCGGCGCCGUGGAGGGAGGGUUUGUGGUCCUCUCGGGCGCGCCCCGCGCCGCCCUGACCGCCGGCUGUUGUCCCCCGCUGCCCCUUCCCGCGCCAUGUUGCAGCGAAGCUUCUUCAGGGCGGGCCCUGACGGCGGCUCUUGGGCGGCGGCGGCCGGUUCCGCGUCCGCUCUUCUCCCCCGUCGCUGAACAAGGGAAGGCCGCGACGUGAGGACAUGGCCGCGGCCCGGCAGACCCCGCUGUGGCGCGGCUGGAGCCUGGCAGAAGACAAAGGGUGACGCGAAAAAGAUCGCUUGUCUCGAAAAAUCAUGGAGAUAGCGAUGUGACGUUGCAGACCCAGGAGAUCUCCUCAAAGACCUGAGUUACUUUUGAGAACAAGACUGAGUUCUGGAACUUGCUUCAAAUGUUGAAGAUCAUACCUUGAGUUUUGGAAUUUCUAGCAAACCUGGCUACAGUAAGUGAAAUGGUUGGCAGCAUCUGCGUUCGAAGAUUUGUAGAUUCCGAAAACUUGGUCUUUUCUCAUACGUGGCUUAAAGCACACUACUAAAGCACUGCAGUUUCAAUCUGUGUUUUCUCUACGUGGUUAAGAAGGAUUAAAAAACAAAAUGACUAAAUAAAGAUUGCACCUACAAUAA